UUUAUUGUUUUACUUUUCUGCAGAUAAUCAAUCAACAAAAUUCCUUUUGCAAGAAAUAUUAAAUUUUCUUCAUUUAAAAAAAUACUCUGACACGCCAACUUUAAAUAGCUUGUAAACAAAGAAUUAAUUGACAGAAUGACUUGUAACUUUGCAUGUGUUGUCACGACAGAUGUUCCAACUUAAGUAAAAAAAUCGGAGCAAUGUAUGCUUUAAGUCAAGUUUGCCUUGCAAAGCCACUGUUUUGCCCUGUUGUUGUGUUGUAUUUUUGUGUUUUCAACAAUCCUGAUACAUCGGCCGAUAUUACGGUAGUUAGAUUUGGUGCUUGAUGUAUUCCAAAUAUUGUGUCUAGUUUGUGCUAGAGCUGGGCAUUCACAGGAAAUCAGUUUCCUUUUUCUCUUCUAGCUUGCAGCUGUGGCAAAUAUUGUUAUAGGACAGACCCAUUUUUAGCGCGUAUUCUCCAAACGACCAGUCCCAUUCCUGGAUCUAUAUAAUAAGUCCUUGGUUCUAGUCUUAUCAUACCUGGGUCAUACCUGCUUCGAUAUUUUGCAGUUAAUUAUUGAUUUCCAUCUGCACUGAGCUAUCUAUUCAAAUUAAUUAUUAAUUUCCAUCUGCACUGAGCUAUCUAUUCAAACUCUCUCCACCGGUUCAUAAAAUUUUACUUCAUGGUUUUGAAGCUACAAAGCAUUCCCUGGGUUCGAUUGGUGAACUUUCUGAAGAGCCUGCAGAGGCAAGGAUUAAAGAUAUAAAAAGAUUACGAUUACAACGUACCCGGAAAAUUUCACGCGUCGCAUCAAAUGCAACUUUAAUGAACUUAUUGCUGUUAUGCUCUGAUCCCUUUGUUACUGAGCACCGAAAACUUGCAUAUAACCAUAAAUCAACGAUACUAAAGUCAACUAUAGAUUUACUUGAUAAGAAAAUAUG
Bactrocera oleae (olive fruit fly) is the source of this 921-nucleotide long non-coding RNA. RefSeq lists it as uncharacterized. The record is from RefSeq and is a predicted model, not a curated record. Lineage: Eukaryota; Metazoa; Arthropoda; Insecta; Diptera; Tephritidae.